UUUUAAAACAUGGUUCUUAUUAUAGGCUAAAUAUUAUUUUAAAUUUAAAAUAGUCAAAUUAUACCCGCUUUAUAAAAACAGAUGCCACGUAGAAUUACGUUUCACUUUUACACAUUAAUUAAAAAAUAACAUGGAUGCAACAUCAUUAAAAUGUAUUAAGAAAAUUGGAGAUUAAAAAAAAAACCAAAAACAAAAACCCAAAAAAUAAAAAAUAAAACAAAAAACAAAAAAACUUCCCCACUCAUCUUUG
RNAcentral lists this long non-coding RNA (250 nucleotides) under Salvia miltiorrhiza (redroot sage). RNAcentral describes it as "long non-coding RNA (SMIL_LNC003185)". Lineage: Eukaryota; Viridiplantae; Streptophyta; Magnoliopsida; Lamiales; Lamiaceae. The record is from RNAcentral.